RNAcentral lists this ribosomal RNA (265 nucleotides) under uncultured soil bacterium. RNAcentral describes it as "partial 16S ribosomal RNA". It matches the Rfam family "Bacterial small subunit ribosomal RNA", at positions 26 to 281 of the family's 1533-position model. The record is from RNAcentral.
AGAAUCAACGCUGGCGGCGUGCCUAACACAUGCAAGUCGAACGCGAAAUGGGCUUCGGCCCAAAUCGAGUGGCGAACGGGUGAGUAACACGUGGGUGAUCUACCUUCGAGCGGGGGAUAACGUUCCGAAAGGACGCUAAUACCGCAUGACGUCCUGGGUUUAAAGACCUGGAGACCAAAGCUAGGACCGCAAGGCCUGGCACUUGAAGAGGAGCCCGCGUCCGAUUAGCUAGUUGGCGGGGUAAUGGCCCACCAAGGCGACGAUC